CUCGUUCCCCACCGUGAAGAUGCUGACCGUGUGGGUGCUCGUUUGUGCCAUGAUGGCUCUGACCAGAGCUGUGGCUCUUCCAGAGGAAAAAGCCAAAAAGGACGAUCAAGCAGUAGAGACUGACCUGGUCAAGAGAACCUAUUAUGGAUGUUCCAGUGGUUGGUCUCGGUUCAAUCGUCGCUGCUUCCACUUCGUUCCAAAACCUAUGACUUGGGCCCAGGCUGAGAGAAACUGUCGGUCCAUGGGUGGGAACUUGGCAUCGGUGCACAGCGUGCAAGAGUACCAUGAGAUUCAGAGGCUGAUAAUGACUGCCACCUAUGAGUACAAAGCAGCAUGGCUUGGAGGCUCUGACGCACAAGAGGAGAAUGUUUGGCUCUGGAGUGAUGGAAGACCUUUCCACUAUUCAAACUGGUGUCAUGGAGAGCCGAACAACUAUCGCAGACAGCAGAACUGUAUGCAGAUGAAUCAUGCAGCUCAGAAGUGCUGGGAUGAUCUGCAGUGUAAUGCUCAUCUCCCAUCCAUCUGUGCCAAGAGAGGCUACUGAUUCCUGUCAGAGUCCACCAUCAACACUGACAGAUGUGUUGGAGUUCAUCUUUGAAAACUCAUCUGUCUUUGUGUCAUUACUCUCAUAACUAACCCAAAGUCUCUUUAUCUCAUUUCACAUCUUUAUUUCUUCUCUAUCGCUGUAACGCUACUUAAGGAACAAAGCGACAAGUGACAGUAACAGGAGCUGGAUUGUCUCUUAGGUCUUGUGCCUUUAGUGAGAGCAAACUGAAUGUGUAAUGAAAGAAUGCUUUUAGCACAACUUUAUUCUGCAGAGUGAAAUAAUCUUUCUUAUCUAAAGCAAAAUUAAAAGAUUAAAGCAUUGAAACAAACUGGUCUGUGAGUGUUAUUUCUCUUGUUUCUAUAAUGUUCCUGCAUCUCAGAAACCAUGUAUAAUACCAUAAAGUUAUUAUCUACAGCCACAUUAUCAAGAUUUCUAAUUAAAGAAAGUUUCAGAAAUUUCACAAAAUCUUCAAGGAUCACAAGUCUCCACCAAAACAAGUUUUUGACUAUUUUUCAGCUAAUAGGUGAGAGAUGGCUCAGUUUAA
RNA transcript from Lates calcarifer (barramundi perch), 1091 nucleotides. It is a transcript of the gene named type-2 ice-structuring protein, with no coding region annotated. The transcript has 7 exons. Lineage: Eukaryota; Metazoa; Chordata; Actinopteri; Centropomidae. The record is from RefSeq and is a predicted model, not a curated record.